AACAAUAGCACGGGCAUUACGCAUAUCAAUGAGGAUUCGUCCGAGAUUGCGUUUUUGCUAGUUGAAAACUAUUUAACUGACCGCUCCUGUUGGUGUUCGGAUCGGCAGGGAAUCUUUGGAAACCCACAAA
Molecule: small nuclear RNA, 130 nt
Filed under: Baudoinia panamericana UAMH 10762
Lineage: Eukaryota; Fungi; Ascomycota; Dothideomycetes; Mycosphaerellales; Teratosphaeriaceae
Description: U4 spliceosomal RNA
Rfam family: U4 spliceosomal RNA
About the family: U4 small nuclear RNA (U4 snRNA) is a component of the major U2-dependent spliceosome.
Source: Rfam by way of RNAcentral